RNAcentral lists this transfer RNA (50 nucleotides) under Calotes sp. Its description in RNAcentral is "partial tRNA-Trp". Lineage: Eukaryota; Metazoa; Chordata; Lepidosauria; Squamata; Agamidae. The record is from RNAcentral.
AGGUACUUAGGAUAACAUUUAAACCAGGAGCCUUCAAAGCCCCAAACAAG